GCAGCUCUUCAACUGCUGAACAAUCAAGCACUCUUAUGUUAUCUAAGUCCCACCUUUUUAGACUCACAAUAACAAACCUGCAUGCUGCAUACUACAAUUCCUAAAGUUCAGUUUCUGUAAAGUGGUGUUAAUAUAUAUUUUGUUUGGGAACAGUAAUCAUUUUGUCGUAUAUUUACAGUGCUUUCAAAAGAUUGCAACCCCCAGUUUGAGAACCCCUGAUCUAAUACAAUCAAGUGGCCCAGGUAACAGGAAUGACAGAAGUGGGUUUUACCAGAGUGAAGGCUUGUUUUCUUCCACAAUUUGGUGCCGUGACUUGGAUGGCAACGCCCGAUUGAAGACAGCGACAGCAGCUGCAGACCGUCCCCCUUCACCUUCAGGGCGCCAAAUGAGAGGUAAGAGACCUUUUGAAAUCUCUACUGAGGUGUGGAGGAGGACUGCCUGUAGGGUCGUCUGCUUCUUGUGGGCUCAUGCCAUCCGAACUUCUUGAAUCUGCAACAAGGUCAGACGCAAAGCGGUUACAAGGAGACUGUUUUGUUACACCCAAGUAGGCCUACGUUUAUGCAGUGCUAGGAACUGCUGUGAUUUUGGUGGUGCCGCCCCGGGUAUGGGAAGAAAAUUGUAUUGCGUCCGGACAUAAGGCACCUGGGUUUAUGCAGUGCUGGGAACUGCUGUGGUUCUGGGGGGAAACGUGUUGUUUGCCGCCCCAAAUAUGGACGAGGUCCAUAAAGAGAGAUGCCUCUAAAAGUGAGAAAAUUUCUGUGUGAAAACCAUGCUGAGUGUGAAUGUAAUGAGUGAAGCGUGAAUGCCGCUGCCCACGUCUCUGAGAAGUAAGCUGAUUCCAGCCGCACCAGGGCUCUCCCACGAGGGAGUUCUGAACGCAAGGGGGGUCAGCCGAACCUCGAGACCGAGCAGAUAUGUGAAGGAGUGAUGACUCCCCUUAUUUCAUGAGCUGCUGAUAAGGUCUGACACUCUAUACCCAGCAGACCCCUUCUUUAGUUUCCUAUAAGCCACUGAACGGACGGGGAGCGGACAGGAUACUCCCCUGAAUGACUAAAAUGGAUGGGGAUCAGUCUAAGCAUACCCCCCCCAGACAGCUGAAAGGCACCCCUGCGUACUACAUGUACGUGCAUCAUGGUCCAAGGACCUGUAAGCAUUUGACAGAUUGACAGAGAAAGAAAUUAAAGCCCUGAGGGAUGAGACUGAAGCUCAGAAAAGCAAAAAUCCUCCCUGCAGUGAGAAAUGUAACUUACAUGCAAUUGCACUGCCUCUCCCAAGCUUAGGGGGGAAUUUGGCCCAACAUUACCCCCUCUACUCCUCUCUAUGCCCAGCCCUAUAUGGGCCCUUACCACACAUCACUGAAGAUAGAGAGGAGGCACAGAAGAUAAUUGAAAGGGAUUAGAUCUUCCCUAUGGAAAAAUGGGCUCUAGUUACAAAUCUGUCCGAUCCAAAGCAAAACACUGAGUUUUGGAAUAGACUUAACAGCUUGUGGGAAGUAUUCCUCCAAAUUCUCAAGGAAGGAAUGCCUGCCGACGAUCAAGCCAUAUUGGCCCUAGGCAUUUUGGUUGGAUACAUAUACACAAAACACAACACAGGAGUAGGAAAGGGCUGCCAAGCAACUGUAGGAGAUUCUCAAGCCCUUGUUAGCAAAUAGAUAACAACAGCCUCUCUGGCUGGAAUCGCAGGCAACCCAAGGAUGUUUCACAAUGCACAAGUGGGGGCUGUCCAGAAAAAAAAACAGUUAAAACCUUUCCCUCACACACUGUUAUAAUUAGCUUGAGAGCGUAGGAGGACGUAACCCAAAAGCCAUCCUAAAAGCCAACUAGUAGGAAUUGAAUUUGAAAGUGUAAUCACUAGAAGCUAAAUCUGCCCUAACAAGGAGACACAUUCUGCAACAUAAAUCUCCUUACAGAGCAUGGUCGAGUGAUCCACCCCAGAGUCAGCAGCAUAGAUCAACUGCUGCAGCAUGGAUGUUAUGAAAACCCUAUACUGACAAGUUUAAACUUAGUAAUAGUUGACUGUAAUAAUACACAUUUGGAUUUACCUAUUGAAAAGAAUUAGGAGGUGUGGGGGCUAAUGGGAAAGCCCACCCUCCUUACCAAAUUAAUACUGGACAAACCUGUGUCAUUGA
Molecule: non-coding RNA, 2128 nt
Organism: Pelodiscus sinensis (Chinese soft-shelled turtle)
Lineage: Eukaryota; Metazoa; Chordata; Testudines; Trionychidae
Source: RefSeq, a predicted model, not a curated record